CUUUGUGGUCUUCUUUAACAGUCCUUAUUCUGUUAAAAGGUGAAAUUAUAAAUCUUGGAUGUUCUAAUUUUGCACCGUUCUAAAAGUGGUUUUUUUUUUUUUUUUUUGCGGUGAUGUUUCAGGUACUUAAAUAUAAAAACCUUACUCUCAAAAAUUAUUCUCUUCAUGAUAAUCACAACUAUGAAAUAAUAGUAGCUAAGAAAAAACCCUGCUUUUCUAGGCCUGGCAGUGUAGAUGUGACCUAGAGAGAAUCAACGACUUUCUCCAGAAUUCAAGUGUCUGGUUCUCACCGGCCUUUGAAUCUGCCAGAUCCAUCCUCCCAGCAGACGCCACAUACAGGUGACAUCCAAUGUCUUCUCACCUUUCGCAGACAUCCUUCUGAACCACUUGUGCCCACCCACUCUGCACACUGCAUUGUGACCCACUUCCAAACCUCCUGGAUGACUUGAAAUCAAUGCUUACUGAGAACAAAGUUGCAAAAGUAAUAUGGAACUUCUUAACUUGUCGUAGAAAAGGUGGAGUGCUCGUGAUUAUAAGCAUCACGAUUCUAACCUCUGAGGGGUCGAGAGGCAUCAAAGAAAACAGUUUACGAGCUGAGACGAGGUCAUGUAUGAACUCCAGAGACAUCCAGUGAAAGUCGUGAAGGAGAUAAAGCAAAAUGCCCCACCAAUUUUGACCACCUUCACGAGGAGAAUCAGAGAAGGCAUGAAUUCUGAGCAUAUUCACCGGGAGAU
Molecule: long non-coding RNA, 734 nt
Organism: Orcinus orca (killer whale)
Lineage: Eukaryota; Metazoa; Chordata; Mammalia; Artiodactyla; Delphinidae
Exons: 3
Source: RefSeq, a predicted model, not a curated record